RNAcentral lists this ribosomal RNA (392 nucleotides) under uncultured bacterium. RNAcentral's name for it is "bacterial SSU rRNA". It matches the Rfam family "Bacterial small subunit ribosomal RNA", at positions 28 to 410 of the family's 1533-position model. The record is from RNAcentral.
GACGAACGCUGGCGGCGUGCCUAACACAUGCAAGUCGAGCGGAGGAUUCGAGAUGUUUACAUCGAAGGACCCUUAGCGGCGGACGGGUGAGUAACACGUGGGUAACCUGCCUCAGAGUGGGGGAUAGCCUUUCGAAAGGAAGAUUAAUACCGCAUAAGAUUGUAGCGUCACAUGGCGCAGCAAGAAAAGGAGCAAUCCGCUUUGAGAUGGACCCGCGGCGCAUUAGCUAGUUGGUGAGGUAACGGCUCACCAAGGCCACGAUGCGUAGCCGACCUGAGAGGGUGAUCGGCCACAUUGGAACUGAGACACGGUCCAGACUCCUACGGGAGGCAGCAGUGGGGAAUAUUGCACAAUGGGCGAAAGCCUGAUGCAGCAACGCCGCGUGAGUGAUG